CAGGACUACAGGUAUGAAAUCUAAGGAUGCCCCCUCUCUGGAGCUGCCUGCCAGUGUUUGAAUCGUGAAGAUCGUGAUGCGUGAGUUAAUCCGUGCUAAGAACUCGGAAGUGAGUAGCAAAUCGUUGCUUCUUAUAGUGCAAGUUACAAAUGACACAACUGUUUGUGUAACUAUUAAUAUGUGUCUCCUCACACCUCCCACACUCUAAACACAAGAAGCCACAGAAUUUGGUUAAUUUCUUUUCAUGUUUUUGUUUGUUUGGUUUUGGGUUUUUUUUGUUUUGUUUUUGACAGGCUCUCACUGUGUCGCCCAGGCUGGAGUGCAGUGGCACGAUCUCCGCUCGCUGCAACCUCGCCUCCCGGAUUCAAA
This 369-nucleotide long non-coding RNA is filed under the name Pan troglodytes (chimpanzee). Its description in RNAcentral is "long non-coding RNA NONPTRT000902". Lineage: Eukaryota; Metazoa; Chordata; Mammalia; Primates; Hominidae. The record is from RNAcentral.